RNAcentral lists this ribosomal RNA (382 nucleotides) under uncultured marine Chaetocerotaceae. Its description in RNAcentral is "SSU rRNA". It matches the Rfam family "Eukaryotic small subunit ribosomal RNA", at positions 587 to 972 of the family's 1831-position model. The record is from RNAcentral. Lineage: Eukaryota; Bacillariophyta; Thalassiosirophyceae; Chaetocerotales; Chaetocerotaceae.
AGCUUCAGUAGCGUAUAUUAAAGUUGUUGCAGUUAAAAAGCUCGUAGUCGAAUUUCUGGCGAGAGGAUCCGGUCCGACCUUUUGGUGGGUUCUUGGGUCUCUUCCGCCAUCCUUGAGUGGUCCGUUCUGGCAUUAGGUUGUCGGAGCGUCAGCCGCUCAUCGUUUACUGUGAGAAAAUUAGAGUGUUCAAAGCAGGCUUAUGCCGUUGAAUAUAUUAGCAUGGAAUAAUAAGAUAGGACCUCGGUACUAUUUUGUUGGUUUGCGCACCAAGGUAAUGAUGAACAGGGACAGUUGGGGGUAUUUGUAUUUCGUUGUCAGAGGUGAAAUUCUUAGAUUUACGAAAGACAAACUACUGCGAAAGCAUUUACCAAGGAUGUUUUCA